This 626-nucleotide long non-coding RNA is filed under the name Sus scrofa (pig). RNAcentral's name for it is "lncRNA (ENSSSCG00070002802.1)". The record is from RNAcentral. Lineage: Eukaryota; Metazoa; Chordata; Mammalia; Artiodactyla; Suidae.
CUGUGGUUAAAUUGGGAAAGGCACUCCUCUGUCCUGGGACGCGAUGGUCAUGACUGAAACAUCCUCACCUCGGACCACAGCUGCCUAUCAGCCCUGGAGGAGGGUGGUACUGGCUCCCUAGGAUUCUCUUGAGCUGCGUCACCCUCUUGGCCUCACCCGUCCUUGCAUUUCUGGGACUUCAGCUGCUUUUCCCAGAGGGCUCAGCUUCUUUCUCAGCUGGGGAGAAAAGACACUUUUUACAGAGCUGGGAGCUCAUAAACGUCUCAAAAGAAAGAUGCUGGAUAAUUGGAAAUAAGAAUUUGAGUUUCCUGGUUUUCUGUGUGUGUACAACCCAUAGGAAAUUCUUCCCAGUAAAUUCCUGUAGCCUUCAGACAUUUUCAAGAGGCAAAGGACCAGUGGAUUGGAUUGGUGACUGCAGCUUUGUCAGCAGCCAUGACUCCAUGUCCCAGGAUGCAGGGCAACCCAUCUGGGGAAGAGCCGAGGAGGCAGAGGAUGCCCUUCUAUGCAAACUACGGUGGCAGGACCAGCCUUCCACCUCCCUGGAGGUGAUCUGUGCUCUGGAUGUGCUGACUUGGAGAAGCAGGAACCUUUUUCUACAAGAGGCAGUUACCUACAUCCUGAAUUAA